CUCAGGUUUGCCCAUUCAAUUGUGAGUAGUAUUCGAUGGGGAGCUAAUUUAUUUUAGUUUUUCUAUGUAGGAUGUACUUUAGAAAAACAAAUUGGAUCAAUGUUGUGAAGGCUGUGGUCCCUGAAGGCCAGUUACUAUGAAAACAUUAUACUUGGUUAUUGAAAUCAAAGAAAUAUUGUGGCAUAUGCAAGAAGAUUUGGCAUCAUUAUGAUGGUGGUAGUUGGACCCCCAAAUGAAUGGGAAGCAGAUCUCCCAAUCUUGCCUUAUGGCAGGAACUGUGGGGUCCACUAUGAUGCAUGUGUUUUAUACACCCUGUCCAUCCCUUUUGCCAGCUCAUUUCCAAGCAUAAGCCCCAAAAUGAAGCAGAUCCAAAGCUCAUGUGGACUGUAAACAAUGUGAUUAAAUUGUUUGGCAUUUCAUGCUUGAGACCUUUAAUUGUUUGCAAAUUUCACAUUUCAGAUAAUACAUGAUAGUUAUUAUCUUAAUAUUGGUUCAUGUUAAAGGCUAUAUCUUGUUAUUAUUUUACAGAAAUUACAAAUUUGUAAUUUGAGAAUAUUAGGUUUGUAACACUUCAUCUGAUAGAGUAUAUACCAGAUGAAAUCAUCCCCAGAAUAGUUUGAGAUUCUUAUGAGGCUUGCCUAAU
Magnolia sinica is the source of this 643-nucleotide long non-coding RNA. RefSeq lists it as uncharacterized. NCBI's taxonomy places the organism in Eukaryota, Viridiplantae, Streptophyta, Magnoliopsida, Magnoliales, Magnoliaceae. The record is from RefSeq and is a predicted model, not a curated record. The transcript is spliced from 3 exons.